Molecule: non-coding RNA, 134 nt
Organism: Drosophila mojavensis
Lineage: Eukaryota; Metazoa; Arthropoda; Insecta; Diptera; Drosophilidae
Source: Rfam
UCAGCAGCAACAAGAAAGUCUUCAAAUUGUCAGUUUAUUUGAGCGCUGAUACAAUGCUGCCAGAGCAAAGUUAAAGCCAAGAACAGUUCAGUUUAGCGUAGUUUAUAAACUGAUCUACACGUGGCUUGACAUUC